AUGCAUUUGCAUCUAGUGCAGGAAGUGCACAAAGUUACGCCUUUAUAAGAUAUGAUGUGUGAGACCUGUAGGGAAUGCGUUGGAGAUCAAACUCUGUAAAAUCCC
Molecule: small RNA, 105 nt
Filed under: Helicobacter pylori Shi470
Lineage: Bacteria; Pseudomonadati; Campylobacterota; Epsilonproteobacteria; Campylobacterales; Helicobacteraceae
Description: Heliobacter pylori small RNA HPnc0580
Rfam family: Heliobacter pylori small RNA HPnc0580
Source: Rfam by way of RNAcentral